GUCCUAGCCGUAAACGAUGAUCACUAGGUGUUGGCUCACUUUUUGUGGGUCAGUGCCGUAGGUAACCUGUUAAGUGAUCCACCUGGGGAGUACGACCGCAAGGUUGAAACUCAAAGGAAUUGACGGGGGCCAGCACAAGCGGUGGAACAUGUGGUUCAAUUCGAUGCUACGCGAAGAACCUUACCCAGGCUUGACAUGCUUGAAGUAGAAACCUGAAAGGGUGACGACUCGUAACCAGUCGAGAGCUUGCACAGGUGCUGCAUGGCUGUCGU
RNAcentral lists this ribosomal RNA (272 nucleotides) under uncultured bacterium. Its description in RNAcentral is "partial 16S ribosomal RNA". It matches the Rfam family "Bacterial small subunit ribosomal RNA", at positions 793 to 1055 of the family's 1533-position model. The record is from RNAcentral.